UUUUUACUUGAAUUGAUCUGUAUUGGCAGGACAGAAACAUGAAGCUGUUGGUGGGGAUGGUGGUGUCGAACAAGAUGCAGAAGUCGGUGGUUGUGGCGGUCGACAGGCUUUUCCACCACAAGCUCUACAAUCGAUACGUCAAGCGCACCUCCAAAUUCAUGGCCCAUGAUGAGCACAACCUCUGCAACAUCGGCGACCGGGUUAGAUUGGACCCUUCUAGGCCAUUGAGCAAGCAUAAGCAUUGUGUGGUUGCAGAAAUUUUGAAAAAAGCACGAAUUUAUGAACCACCAUCGAUGGCAACUACUACCUGUUCAAGCAGCAAGAGUGAAUUAUCAAUUUCUUCCUCCUAAGGUUUGGGUACAACCCUCCUAGAGUUGCUUUUCAUUUCUAAUGGUUAGAUAUGAGAAUUAUAAUAUAGUGUCUUGUUUUGAAUGAAUAUAUGGAUUUGGCAACCUGGUAUUUAAAGGUUAUAUUUGCCGCCAGGUUUGGGAACCAUCUAAAAUAGCUAAAAAGUCAAAACGUCACUAUCAAAAAAUCAAUUGUUCUCUCUACUUUUCCGCUUUUUUGCACUUCUUUUCAUAAAAAGCCAACCAAAAUAGCUAGUUGAAGUCACAUUUAUUUAUUUAUUAUAUAUAUAUUGCUUGAAAUAGUUGUCUGGAAUUAUUUCCCUAUUAUGUGUUUAUGUUAGUCUGGUUAACUUCUGUGGUUGUUCCUAAAAGCUACUUUUGAUGCAUCUAAUGCUUACAAGAGAUUAUGGACAAGCAUUUGAAAAGGCACAGUCAGAGAACAGUGAAUAAACUUACAUACCAAUGUACAUAUACGUGUGCAUACAUACAUAAUUAUGUACAUUAUAAAACAUAAAUUUAUGUCAGUACAGGAAAUCAUAUAUCCAUAUAUGUUAGAAAUUGGCUCUGUUCCGAGGUGAUUGAGUCAUUGAGAUAUGUGUAACAGCUUAGACACAUGCAAUUAUUUUGUUUGGCAUUGUUGACACAAUUUUUGAAAUGUAAAAUUUUUAGUUGCAUUUCGAAACUUCUGUAUGCAAAUAUCCAUUAUUUAGUCAUUGAAAUAAACAAUGUUGAUUAUUUGUUUGCAGGUUUCUAUUUCCAAUUUGGUGCUCCAAAUCAUUAAUUACUCGCUCAAUAUAAGUAAAAUCUCCAAUUAAUAAAGAACUUGAGUUAAAAUGGAAAAGAAGACAUUUAAAAGGAAAUGUUUCUUUUAUUAAAAUUUUGGGAGUUUGGAGCCCUUGAUUACAUGAUAUCAUACAAUGCAAUAAUUUUCAAUUAUGUCAAAGAAAAGCCAAACUGCAGAUUUGGAACCUUUGAAGGUUUGCAGAAGAGCUCCACUUGACAGAAUGUAGAAAACACUACUUGCAGUGCAUUGGUUCUCCUAUUUACAGAGGGCCAUUGAUAAGAAUCAAUUAUCAGUAAUUUGAAUUUGUAUGAGAUUGUGAUAUAUUGUUCAAUUAUAUCCUGUAUUUUGAAUUUAAACUUGAAUGAUCAUCUUCUAAAUUUCUCCAAUGUAGCAUUUCCACUGGAGGUUCUACAUGUGUUAUCCUUUGAUUGGGUAUACUGUCUCUUGAACUUUGAAGAUUCCAUGUGGCACUUAUCUUGCUUAUAUUCCGAAGACUUUUUUGGUUCUGUUGAUAUAAACCUCGAUCAAUUCAUAUAUGGAUCUUAGGCUUAGCCAUUAUAUAGUUGAAAUUUAUGUGCUAACGAAUGUUCCCUAGUGAUUUGUGUAAUUAAAAAUUCAAAUUAAGAUUCACAUGGAGCGCAUCAAUCAUAUUAACAACCAAAAGAUUGACCAAGUCAGAAUUCAUAAAAUAGUUUCAACCAAAGUAGAAAAACAGCACAUCCCACAGUAGUUCACCAGAAUCACCGACAUUCAUCAUUCAACCAUAGAUAAACUAAAAAAAAAUAGUUCACAAUCACACUUGCGUCCUUUCUUAAGCAAGAAAACCAAGUAAAGAAAAGACAAAAAAAAA
Camellia sinensis is the source of this 1981-nucleotide non-coding RNA. The record is from RefSeq and is a predicted model, not a curated record. NCBI's taxonomy places the organism in Eukaryota, Viridiplantae, Streptophyta, Magnoliopsida, Ericales, Theaceae.